AGCUAGAAUUUUUAGCGAAAGUUGUCGAUCAAUAACUAUAACAGAGUUAGAAUUUUUAGCAAAAGUUGUCGAUCAAUAACUAUAACAGAGUUAGAAUUUUUAGCAAAAGUUGUCGAUCAAUAACUAUAACAGAGUUAGAAUUUUUAGCAAAAGUUGUCGAUCAAUAACUAUAACUGAGGACUGUUUACUUCUAUCAAGAAUCAGUUUGUCAUUGUUCAGUAAGUUAACAUCUUGUGAAGUGUGAAAACUUAGGGCCUGGUUUGAAGGAUGCUAUCUUCCAUAACGUUGUUCUACACAUAGAGCAUGUGACAGGAAGUUUCUGCCACAAAGAAUUUAAUGUAUUAGUAUGUUUUAAGAAGGUGACAUUUGUAUAGAGUGUUUGCUUUCAGGAAGUUCCCUGCCACCCAAACCCUGGCUAGGACUGGAACACAUAAACAAGGCACCUAAAAGAUCUCGAUGUAACUACUCGGAAAAAGCUAUCAAGAUCCAUAACUGAGUGAGAUAUAGUGACCUCUUGAUAUGUCCAGCUUCUAGAUCUCCCACAAUCAGCAGAUUUGCUCUUGAUCCGAGAGGUCCCUGUCUCAGCCAGCACUCAGGCCUGGUUUUGUGUGUACAGUGUGGGGAGAGUGAAAUUAUAUGUCUAGUUUUUUACCUGAAUCCUUGGCUGCUAGAAGUACCCUACUAAUCAAGGUUCAGACCUACAUAGCUUGAUUCCAGGCCAACCCGUUCAAUUAUGUUUUGUUUGCAAGCUGCUAUUUCCCAUCAAAUUCCCUCUUAAUGUUAAAGGAUAUUGAGGACUUCAGUGCUGUAGGUGAUAGUGAACGUUGAAAUGGCGAGACCGGGUUUGUACAGUGGAAUUACUCGGCACUAAAUGUGUUAAGUCAUUUUAAUAUUAUAGUGACUAUUGUAUGAAAUUUUUGAAAAUAAAAAUUAAUCCUGUAAAAUGUCAUUAUUUUCGUUAGUAUCGUAAUCUCACAAUUUUCACGUAUCAAUGAAUUAGUUUUGAAUACUGUUGAUGUAUUGCUUUAGAAAAUGCCAGUAAAAGAAGUUAUAAUUUAUAUCACCUGUUACCUGUGCUAAUAACUGUUGUAUAUUGACAAAAAGUCUGUGUGAAUGUUUACACAUUUUCACUCAUGAUGUCAGACUUACCUGUUGUACAGAGAUAGAGUUGUACACGUUAUCAGUGGUUUUCUUUUGAUUAACCUGACUGUUUCAUGGAUUAUAAUUGAUAGCUGUACUUUCAUAUUACAAACUAAUGGUGGAUAUAUUAACGUUUAGGUAGCAACAAAAUUGUAUGAGAGUAUUGUCCCACAGUAAGGAUAAUUUCUUUCUGGACUUUUGGAGGUCCAAACAGUUACAUUAUUUAUAAAAAAAAUCCUUGAAAGGCUGAAAUUUUCAUUCUAGUUUACUGGUUUCUAUUAAUUAUAUAAUGUUUGUGGAAAUGAAUCUUGUAUUAAAACAAAAAAGUUGUCACAUAAAGAAUAAAAAACAUGUUUUAACCAUCAGUAUUUGUGAACUGGACCUGUUGGGGGUCAUGUUUUAGCUGUAAUGUAAACAUUAUUGCUCAGUAGAUCAGGCUAGCAUAAGAAUUCUAAGAUAAUUAUAUGAAUGUGCCUUUGUAUGUUAUUUUUCAACAGAUCAGGUGUGACUGUUACGUCACUGUGUUCUGGACAGUACAAUAUUGUUCAACAGACCAGACAGGUACGACUGUUACAACACUGUAUUCUGGACAGUACACUAUUGUUCAACAAAUUAGGCAGGUGUGACUGUUGCAACACUGUGAUCUGGACAGUACACUAUUGUUCAACAGACCAGACAGGUGUGACUGUUAAAACACUGUGUACUGGACAGUACACUAUUGUUCAACAAAUUAGGCAGGUGCGACUGUUAAAACACUGUGUACUGGACAGUACACUAUUGUUCAACAAAUUAGGCAGGUGUGACUGUUGCAACACUGUUAUCUGGAAGGUUUGUUAUAUUGUUCAACAGAUCAGACGGGUGUGACUGUUAAAACACUGUAUUCUGGACAGUACACUAUUGUUGAACAGAUUAUGUAGGUGCGACUGUUAAAACACUGUGUACUGGACAGUACACUAUUGUUCAACAAAUUAGGCAGGUGUGACUGUUGCAACACUGUUAUCUGGAAGGUUUGUUAUAUUGUUCAACAGAUCAGACGGGUGUGACUGUUAAAACACUGUAUUAUGGACAGUACAUUAUUGUUGAACAGAUUAUGUAGGUGCGACUGUUAAAACACUGUAUUCUGGACAGUACACUAUUAUUCAACAGCUCAGACAGGCGUGAGUGUUACAACACAGUGUCCUAGAUUUACCCAUAUCUAGUCAGAACUAAGCACCAUUGAUCAAAUUCUGGCUAGAUACCACCUACCUUAGAAACAGGCUGUACUAAAUAGAAAUGUUUCAAUCGAGUUACUUGGUGAUAAAAGCUACCUUAUUUUUUCUAAGCUGUAAGGAAUAGUUUAUACAGUAGUGGUGUGCACCAAAUGCGAAGCCUGUUAUCAUAUUGUUUAGGUCAUCUUUGUCUCAUUAUUUCCAAUAACAUGGUUAAGAACUGAGAUGACAAUUGAAGGUGACCGCAACAUGAUCUGUGGUGUAAAAAUUCUAGCGUGUUUCUUACGGAAAGAUGAGCCUAAUUUCACAAUCCUUAUUUUACUGUUUGAGAGAGAAAGUGUAUGUAUUUGAUGUAGAUAGUCUGCAAAAUUAUCUUUUUAAAUAAAUUUAACAUAAACCACCAGGAAA
RNAcentral lists this long non-coding RNA (2756 nucleotides) under Limulus polyphemus (Atlantic horseshoe crab). Its description in RNAcentral is "uncharacterized LOC111089572, transcript variant X3". The record is from RNAcentral. Lineage: Eukaryota; Metazoa; Arthropoda; Merostomata; Xiphosura; Limulidae.